This 75-nucleotide small RNA is filed under the name Xanthomonas campestris pv. incanae. RNAcentral describes it as "sX9 sRNA". It matches the Rfam family "Xanthomonas sRNA sX9". RNAcentral also lists the same sequence under 1 other name. Lineage: Bacteria; Pseudomonadati; Pseudomonadota; Gammaproteobacteria; Lysobacterales; Lysobacteraceae. The record is from RNAcentral.
AUGUACCACUCCCGCACGCCGGUUCUUUCGCGCCGUCCGCACCCACUCACGGCUGCUCGCUACAUUUUGUUAGCC